RNAcentral lists this ribosomal RNA (253 nucleotides) under uncultured bacterium. Its description in RNAcentral is "partial 16S ribosomal RNA". It matches the Rfam family "Bacterial small subunit ribosomal RNA", at positions 524 to 776 of the family's 1533-position model. The record is from RNAcentral.
UACGUAGGGGGCAAGCGUUGUUCGGAAUUACUGGGCGUAAAGGGCGCGUAGGCGGCAUGGCAAGUCAGGAGUGAAAGGCCUGGGCUCAACCGAGGAACUGCUUUUGAUACUGCCAAGCUAGAGUGCGGAAGGGGCAACUGGAAUUCCCAGUGUAGCGGUGAAAUGCGUAGAUAUUGGGAAGAACACCCGAGGCGAAGGCGGGUUGCUGGGCCGACACUGACGCUGAGGCGCGAAAGCCAGGGGAGCAAACGGG